Molecule: ribosomal RNA, 750 nt
Filed under: Escherichia coli
Lineage: Bacteria; Pseudomonadati; Pseudomonadota; Gammaproteobacteria; Enterobacterales; Enterobacteriaceae
Description: partial 23S ribosomal RNA
Rfam family: Bacterial large subunit ribosomal RNA
Source: RNAcentral
CGGGACACGUGGUAUCCUGUCUGAAUAUGGGGGGACCAUCCUCCAAGGCUAAAUACUCCUGACUGACCGAUAGUGAACCAGUACCGUGAGGGAAAGGCGAAAAGAACCCCGGCGAGGGGAGUGAAAAAGAACCUGAAACCGUGUACGUACAAGCAGUGGGAGCACGCUUCGGCGUGUGACUGCGUACCUUUUGUAUAAUGGGUCAGCGACUUAUAUUCUGUAGCAAGGUUAACCGAAUAGGGGAGCCGAAGGGAAACCGAGUCUUAACUGGGCGUUAAGUUGCAGGGUAUAGACCCGAAACCCGGUGAUCUAGCCAUGGGCAGGUUGAAGGUUGGGUAACACUAACUGGAGGACCGAACCGACUAAUGUUGAAAAAUUAGCGGAUGACUUGUGGCUGGGGGUGAAAGGCCAAUCAAACCGGGAGAUAGCUGGUUCUCCCCGAAAGCUAUUUAGGUAGCGCCUCGUGAAUUCAUCUCCGGGGGUAGAGCACUGUUUCGGCAAGGGGGUCAUCCCGACUUACCAACCCGAUGCAAACUGCGAAUACCGGAGAAUGUUAUCACGGGAGACACACGGCGGGUGCUAACGUCCGUCGUGAAGAGGGAAACAACCCAGACCGCCAGCUAAGGUCCCAAAGUCAUGGUUAAGUGGGAAACGAUGUGGGAAGGCCCAGACAGCCAGGAUGUUGGCUUAGAAGCAGCCAUCAUUUAAAGAAAGCGUAAUAGCUCACUGGUCGAGUCGGCCUGCGCGGAA